RNAcentral lists this long non-coding RNA (553 nucleotides) under Chinchilla lanigera (long-tailed chinchilla). RNAcentral's name for it is "lncRNA (ENSCLAG00000025584.1)". The record is from RNAcentral. Lineage: Eukaryota; Metazoa; Chordata; Mammalia; Rodentia; Chinchillidae.
UACUGCAUCUUUCUGACUAUAUAUGGGAUAGGCAUAAAGUUUCUUUUCAGUCACUCCAACUGAGGAAAUGAUUUUGCUCACACCCGCAAGCUAUUUAGCGGUCUCUUUGUUCCCUUGUUUCUUCAAAGGAGAGUUGGGAACCAUGAGGCUCCUCAUUCCAAGCUCAGAGGUACUUCUUCCCCAGGGAGCUUGCGGAAAGUUAGUGACAGUUAGUGAAAGGGUGGGAGUCUCCGACUCUCAGAUUCCCCUCCCCCACUCGUGGCAGUUGGAUCCGUUGAGGUCUCCGGGCUGUUUUGGCAGUUGGCUUGUAGAACUCUGGAAGAAGGAGAAUACCCCGGCCCAGUUCUCCUGCUUAGAGAUCUGGGAGGACACUGUUGUGAUUUCGACUGUCCUGUCUUUUUGCAGCAGUAUUACGAUGUCCCACCUUGGAAGAGCCUUUUCUGGGAUAAAGCUCCUGUUAAAUUAUAAUUUCCUCGUAGGAAAGACAGGACUCCAGCUGCCACCACAUUGUUUCCCUUAUCGUGAAUCCUUCCAGCAACUAACUGUUCACUGA